RNAcentral lists this ribosomal RNA (450 nucleotides) under uncultured organism. RNAcentral's name for it is "partial 16S ribosomal RNA". It matches the Rfam family "Bacterial small subunit ribosomal RNA", at positions 335 to 801 of the family's 1533-position model. The record is from RNAcentral.
ACUCCUACGGGAGGCAGCAGUGGGGAAUAUUGGACAAUGGGCGCAAGCCUGAUCCAGCCAUGCCGCGUGAGUGAUGAAGGCCCUAGGGUUGUAAAGCUCUUUCACCGGUGAAGAUAAUGACGGUAACCGGAGAAGAAGCCCCGGCUAACUUCGUGCCAGCAGCCGCGGUAAUACGAAGGGGGCUAGCGUUGUUCGGAUUUACUGGGCGUAAAGCGCACGUAGGCGGACUAUUAAGUCAGGGGUGAAAUCCCGGGGCUCAACCCCGGAACUGCCUUUGAUACUGGUAGUCUUGAGUUCGAGAGAGGUGAGUGGAAUUCCGAGUGUAGAGGUGAAAUUCGUAGAUAUUCGGAGGAACACCAGUGGCGAAGGCGGCGCACUGGCUCGAUACUGACGCUGAGGUGCGAAAGCGUGGGGAGCAAACAGGAUUAGAAACCCGGGUAGUCCCAUGAU